UGAUGAAUGUCAGGCCUCGUGCAGCGUACCAGCUGAAAGAAAACUGGAGUGGAUAUGUCACACUUGCUAUAGUCACCUCAAAGAUGGUAAAAUGCCUGCACUUGCUGUUGCGAACAAUCUCACACUCGCUGAUAUUCCAAAGGAACUGUGUGGAUUGAACAUACUGGAGAGACACCUCAUUUCCAAAUGCAUAUCAUUUGCCAAAAUUGUACCUCUUCCCAAAGGUCAACAACGAGCCAUUCGUGGAAAUGUGGUGUGCGUGCCAUCGGAAGUACAAGAGACGGUCAAUGUCUUGCCCAGACUAAGAAUACAGAGACAUAACCAUUCGCGACGAUGCGGACCUUUGCGACCCAACCCUCACUGACGAUGAGAGCAGCUCCGAUGAAGCGCAAAUGAGCGACAGUGAGUACAAUGAGGAAGCUCUGGAGGAGAUGUACAGAUUUGAAAGUGAUGCUCUGUGUGGGAUGAACAGUGACUCUCAACAUGACAACAGUGGUAACAAACAGCAACAAGAAAAUUCGGAAGACGGUGAUCAACCAAAUGAAAGAAACAACCCAGUAAGUUUUUUCAAGACUCCCAAGCUUGAGGCCAUGGCUUUUCCGGUGCAGUUUCCCACUGGUCACAACACCCUCGAUGAAGAGAGAGCAAUAAAACUCACACCAAGCAAAUAUUUCAAAACCCGUCUGUGUUGCGUGGAUGAACGCUUUGCUCGAGAUACCAACUACUUGUUCUUUGCCCAGUUUGUGACUGAAAUUUACCAGGCAACG
Molecule: long non-coding RNA, 767 nt
Organism: Syngnathus typhle (broad-nosed pipefish)
Lineage: Eukaryota; Metazoa; Chordata; Actinopteri; Syngnathiformes; Syngnathidae
Exons: 3
Source: RefSeq, a predicted model, not a curated record